AGUGAACGCUGGCGGUAGGCCUAACACAUGCAAGUCGAACGGCAGCACAGUAAGAGCUUGCUCUUACGGGUGGCGAGUGGCGGACGGGUGAGGAAUACAUCGGAAUCUACUUUUUCGUGGGGGAUAACGUAGGGAAACUUACGCUAAUACCGCAUACGACCUACGGGUGAAAGCAGGGGAUCUUCGGACCUUGCGCGAUUGAAUGAGCCGCUGUCGGAUUAGCUAGUUGGCGGGGUAAAGGCCAACGCAGGCGACGAUCCGUAGCUGGUCUGGGAGGACGAUCGGCCACACUGGAGCUGAGACACGGUCCAGACUCCUACGGGAGGCAGCAGUGGGGAAUAUUGGACAAUGGUCGCAAGCCUGAUCCAGCCGUACCGCGUGGGUGAAGAAGGCCUUCGGGUUGUAAAGCCCUUUUGUUGGGAAAGAAAAGCAGCAGGUUAAUACCCCGCUGUUCUGACGGUACCCAAAGAAUAAGCACCGGCUAACUUCGUG
RNAcentral lists this ribosomal RNA (492 nucleotides) under uncultured bacterium. Its description in RNAcentral is "partial 16S ribosomal RNA". It matches the Rfam family "Bacterial small subunit ribosomal RNA", at positions 29 to 507 of the family's 1533-position model. The record is from RNAcentral.